AGUUACGCUUGUGCGUUCCAAAAUGGGUGUAAAUACUUUCCGAAUGCACUGUCACGUUAAGCUUUGCUCUUUUGUUCUGGCCAGCAGCUAAUCAGUUUGGAGCCAGACUCUGUUGUCUAUCCGCUUUGAUUAUCCGACUAAUCUUUCCGCAAAGAUGGGAGAUUACCAUUUUCCUGCCCCCACCCCGGCACGACCCGAGUUAUUUAUCCGCCGCGUGUGUGUGACAUGUGUUUAAGCGGCCUCGCUUGUUUGCUGUUUAAUUGAUCGACGGUUCCACUAGUCCAUGUGUAGUCCAGAUGAGGCCAACCGGAGGUCUCCGAGGAGGAAGAGGAGGCGUGAGCACGGGAAGUCGAGUGGGGAAAUGAGAAACAAAAGAAGUGAUUUGGAGAGAGUCUGGACAAUCCGUUACGAUCCGAUGCAGAAUUAAUACUGAUCAAGAUUUUCUGGUACUGAAAAUGGGCCUUAACGAGGAGACUGAGGUUGCCGUUAUCAACAGAGCCUUUAGAAAAACAUAUUUUCAUAAAGGAAUCGCAGGAAGAGUUCAAACAAGUGGAACAUUCCCAAGUGUGGAUAUUGUAAUUGAAAACUUGAAUGUAAAUGACUCAGGGCCAUACUGGUGUGUGUAUUCAAAACUGGAUGACGACUACCAUCAACUGGUCACAAAAGGUAAUGGAUCUGUUCUUCUAACGGUGACCGGAUAUACUCGUGAAUCAACAACAGCCAUAACGGGAGAGGCAAAAUGUGAUGCAUCAAGUCUUUCGUUGGUUGUGGUUUAUGUUCGCAUCAUCGUCAUUGUUCUGAUUGGCCUCAUGCUAGGUUUUAGCAUUUUGAUCAUGCACAAGAAUCACAACAAACAACCACUUGAAUGACGCGUUGUGAUGAUUUUAAUGAAAAAAGAAAAACAUACAAGUCUGGAGACAUGAAACACAGGAUAUCAAGUACGGACAAAAAGCAAACAAUGAGCAAAAGAUUGGAGAAACAGGUGAUGGAGCCAAAUGGAAAUUAGACAUUGAAACAAAACUAAAAUCCAAAAUAUAAAUACUGAGAUGUAAAGUGACACAAGAAACAAAUAGACCAAUGAGGGGAAACACAGAGAUUGAGGGUAAAAGGACCUGGAAACCAAAGUGCAAAAUCUCACAAAUCUGACAUUGUCAUAUCCUUUAGAUAUGACAAUCAUAUUUAAAGGAAUUUGAGGUCUGUAUAAAGCACAAUUGUUGUUCUAUAAUGACUUAAUUCACAGUUCCAACAUGAUGUUUGAUGAUGUAGACCUAUUAAAACUUGGUAUUUUGGUGAGAAAUAACUUUUUCUUUCUUUCUUUUUCUGAGAAGAAUGUCAAAGCCUUAUUAUCUGCUAUCGAUGCAGAUUUGCUGAGCUGCCACAAGAGAGCACUAUUAAUGCGACAAAGCACAGGGCUUCCAAUUUUUGGUAACUCCACACAUUUGACGUCCUUCUGCAAGAAUAAAAAGAAACAAAGAUGGUGAAAAAAAAAGUUCUUAAUAAUGGAAGAGAGACUGACCAUCACAAAACUCAAUAUUAUAAGCCUUUAAUUGGGAAAUUGCACUUGAAGCAAAGGUGUAGGUGAAUACAAUUUCUUUCUCCAUCAAAAAGCACUCAGAAACUGUGACAAAGUCUGACAGGAAGAGUUCUGGCAGACUGAAAAUCACUCAGAAAUCAUUUCUGAGAAUUAGCAGCUAUCGUGACAAGCAGCUCGUAGUACAACAGAUUUCAAGCUGCAGGUUUGACACAAC
Molecule: long non-coding RNA, 1748 nt
Organism: Gambusia affinis (western mosquitofish)
Lineage: Eukaryota; Metazoa; Chordata; Actinopteri; Cyprinodontiformes; Poeciliidae
Exons: 4
Source: RefSeq, a predicted model, not a curated record